UGAGUAACCUGCCCUUCACUCUGGGAUAACUCCGGGAAACCGGAGCUAAUACCGGAUACGAACCACCCAGGCAUCUAGGUGGUUGGAAAGAACUUCGGUCAAGGAUGGGCUCGCGGCCUAUCAGCUUGUUGGUGAGGUAACGGCCCACCAAGGCGACGACGGGUAGCCGGCCUGAGAGGGUGAUCGGCCACAUUGGAACUGAGACACGGUCCAGACUCCUACGGGAGGCAG
Molecule: ribosomal RNA, 231 nt
Filed under: uncultured bacterium
Lineage: Bacteria
Description: partial 16S ribosomal RNA
Rfam family: Bacterial small subunit ribosomal RNA
Source: RNAcentral